This 21-nucleotide microRNA is filed under the name Gadus morhua (Atlantic cod). Its description in RNAcentral is "gmo-miR-11255-5p". Lineage: Eukaryota; Metazoa; Chordata; Actinopteri; Gadiformes; Gadidae. The record is from miRBase by way of RNAcentral.
AGAGAUGAAAUCAAUCACUGA